Drosophila guanche is the source of this 779-nucleotide long non-coding RNA. RefSeq lists it as uncharacterized. Lineage: Eukaryota; Metazoa; Arthropoda; Insecta; Diptera; Drosophilidae. The transcript is spliced from 3 exons. The record is from RefSeq and is a predicted model, not a curated record.
UGCUUUCAUCCAUAUUUUCAGUUUUUGUUUGGAAGUGUACGAGUACACUUGAAAUUUGUUAGUUACAAAUUUUUAGUUUUUUAAAUUUCUUUUUUUGGCGAAGCUUAGAGAUGUUCCGAUUCGUGAAUUUGCUUUUCCAUUGUCUGACUGUCCUGUGCCCUGUCGACCUUCAGCAGCAUAAUUAUUCAGGUCGUUGUGGAAAAUGCUUUAAACAGGCAGCUGAUCGGCGAGCGAUGGUCGUCUCUUCCAGACUUCGCCUUGUGUCCAGCUCCGUGAAGCAUGAAGGAUUGUUCAGAAGUAUAAAUUGUGAUAUGAAUCGUGGAAGCCAGAGUACUCUUAAGCAAACUGCAGAGUGAUCAAUUACGUGGGAGAAGCUCUCUUCUCCUGCAUGUGAUUUUGAAUAUUUAUUUUUUAAAGUUCGCCGUAUGCCCAGCAUUUCUUCGAUCUUGGCGUUAUUACGAUUACCAGUGGCCUGUGGGCCCUGGCAGUUUUUGAACUUUUCAAAAACCUGGGACUGCUUAUGCUACAAGAAUUGUUCCAGUGCACAGAAGGCCAACAUAGUUCGGCAUCGAUGGUGCCAGAUAUUUGCUCGGGAUAGCUCCCAGCGCUGGAGCAAAUCUAGAAGCAGACAACCAUGCUGUAGAAGGAAGCCGUGAAGGAAGGAUCGCCUCUGCUGCCGGUAAUGUUGUGGCAUAAACAAAAUAUGAAUUACAUAUAUGAAAAGUAAGAUUUAAGAUGUGGAUCUACUUUGAAACUCAAAUAUAAGACCUCCCAAAUAA